Molecule: long non-coding RNA, 881 nt
Organism: Amblyraja radiata (thorny skate)
Lineage: Eukaryota; Metazoa; Chordata; Chondrichthyes; Rajiformes; Rajidae
Exons: 3
Source: RefSeq, a predicted model, not a curated record
GACGUACAGGUUUGUAGAUUAAUUGGCUUGGUAUAAAUGUAAAUUGUCCCUAGUGUGUAUAGGAUAGUGUUAAUGUGCAGGGAUCGCUGGCCGGUGCAGACUCGGCGGGUCGAAGGGUCUGUUUCCGCGCUGUAUCUCUAAACUAAAACUAAACUCUCAGGUAAGCUUGCACAAUACAUCACCAAUGGAAGAUAUUACUCUCAGAUAUGUGGUAGGUUGAUGCAUCAAGUAAUUUUAUAAAACAACGUUUCUCCAACAUAAUAUGUUAUGGAAUACUUGUUUAUAUUGUGCUUCUUCUUGUCCGUUCUGAAUGCUGUGGGGAUUAUUAUAUAUGUAAAAUGUAAACUUAUUCCUACUAUAAAAUAAUCAAAGGACUUAUUAAAAUUAUUGGUGAGUGUUAACUUUUAACUAUAACGAAGAAGAUGAUAGGGAAUAUUCUGCACUGUCUUUGGCAAUUGUAAAUCUGCCCAUCAUUUUACAUUUUUGUAAUAAUCUGCAUGAUUUAAGGGAGUGGAAUUGAGAAAUUAUUUGUAUCACAACCGUACCAUCCCCUGGGGUCCUUUUCCAAUUCUCAUUGUUCCGGUAAUGUUGAAAUAACCCAGAUGAACCGGUUGGACAUAUUGCUGGGGGAGUUAUCAAUUGGCCUUUUAUCACCAACCACUCCCAUCUGACUCAUGGACCACCUGCUAAUCAACCCAAUUGCAACAGAAUAAUUGCUUUGUUAUAUAACUACAUAAUUUUGAAUGUCAGCCUACCAACCAUGUUCCUUGUACACUUAAUUGAAUAAAGGAAUUCAAGGGAUUCUUUUCAUUUUUUUCCCCUUACUGACAAGGUUGGGCAGUGUUAGAGUUGCUGCCUUACAGCGUCAGAGACCCAGGUUC